Hippocampus comes (tiger tail seahorse) is the source of this 643-nucleotide long non-coding RNA. RefSeq lists it as uncharacterized. The transcript is spliced from 2 exons. The record is from RefSeq and is a predicted model, not a curated record. Lineage: Eukaryota; Metazoa; Chordata; Actinopteri; Syngnathiformes; Syngnathidae.
CCGUCGUGCACCGCGCGAAAAAAGCGAAACUAAAGGAAAAGCGGAGAAAAGUCGCUGGUUGCGAGGAAAACAACCUCGCGAGCGAGCCCCGAUGCGUGGGCCAGCCAGAGCCAGAGGGGAGGGAAAGGAAAGGAAAGGGAAACGUAAGGCGAGUGAGUCCCCGUUCCUCGCAAAUGAAAGUUGACUUAGCUUGACGUGAGCGGCUAUAAAACCCGCAACUCUGACAAUUGCUUGGCAGUCGACGCGAGACGCUUCUUCACGAUGUCUUACACGGUGGUUUUCUUCGAUCUUGAAACAACUGGACUGGGUAUGAGACAUUAUGGCAUCAUAAAAAAAAAAAAAUCUAGUUGAUGACAUUGCUAUCAGCGUCACACCUACGUUAAAGUUUAUACGUAUUUAUUUUUUAUGCAUUUUUAUUAUAUUUUGUGGCUGUUUAAAAACACAUUUCUCUGUAAGUACCACCACAGAAGGUUGUCGGGUAAACUCUCCAAGUAUUAACAUUAAAAUGCGCUUACGUCAUAGUAGUUCGGGAAGUGUUUAUCAAACAAGAGAGCAGUUUUACCCCUAAAAAAGUGUAUCAAAUAUCGUUGUAACUCACUAUAACAUUAUACCCGGUUUAUAUAUAAUAUCACGCUUGAAUAAA